This 393-nucleotide RNase P RNA is filed under the name Opitutales bacterium. RNAcentral describes it as "RNase P RNA component class A". It matches the Rfam family "Bacterial RNase P class A". Rfam says of the family: Ribonuclease P (RNase P) is a ubiquitous endoribonuclease, found in archaea, bacteria and eukarya as well as chloroplasts and mitochondria. Its best characterised activity is the generation of mature 5'-ends of tRNAs by cleaving the 5'-leader elements of precursor-tRNAs. Cellular RNase Ps are ribonucleoproteins. The record is from RNAcentral. Lineage: Bacteria; Pseudomonadati; Verrucomicrobiota; Opitutia; Opitutales.
UCCGAGAAGCGGUCAUUCGCUCCGAUGCCCUCGGGCAGACGAGAGGAAAGUCCGGACAUCACAGGGUAGGAUUCCUCGUGAAAGCGGGGGGAGCUUGUUUCAAUGCAAGUUCACGGAUAGUGCCACAGAAAACAAACCGCCUCCCUAAGGGGGUAAGGGUGAAAUGGUGGGGUAAGAGCCCACCGCCGUUUGAGCAAUCAGACGGGCAUGGUAAACCCAAUCCGAUGCAAGACGAAAUAGGAAACCGGGCUACCCGUCUAUGGUUUCGGGUACGUCGCACCCCGCCUCGGCGGGGAUUUGAUCUUUGGUCAAAUAGAUAAAUGAAUGACAACCUUUGCAAAGGUUUGUUUUUGCAUAAGGUUACAGAAUCCGGCUUACAGCUUCUCGGAAUCC